Molecule: long non-coding RNA, 674 nt
Organism: Manis javanica (Malayan pangolin)
Lineage: Eukaryota; Metazoa; Chordata; Mammalia; Pholidota; Manidae
Source: RefSeq, a predicted model, not a curated record
UCUGUUUUUACUUUGUCUGUUCCCAUUAUUCUGUGCCAUGGGAGUUAAAAGUCUGGAAACUACAUUUCCCGGCCACACCUACUCCCCUCCCAGCUGGCUUCCUGUAAUGUUCUGGCAAUGAGAGGUGGUAGAAAGUUAGAAAGUGAAAAAAAAAGAUGUUUCCUUCUUCUUUUCUCUUUUAGGCUGUAACUCUGGCAGUGGCAGAAACAGCAGCAGUAUGGACUCUAGAUGGGUCCAAAAUGGUGCCAGCUGAAAUCUGAAGCUUUCCAUGGAUUUUCAUACUAGAAAUCUUCAAGAAUGCUUUUGAAACAACGAGCAGAAAACCCUGAUCACAUCCAGACUCCCUGAAGCUGACCACUGAAGACAAAGUCAGGAGAGAUGUUCUUGCUAGGAUUACAGCCUACACCCAUAUAAAAAUUGAGGAGGAAGAGCCUGGAGCUGUUUCCUGGAGCCCCAUACACGGUGAGAUGCGGACCAACCACCACCAGCGCAGCUUCCUUCUCCUCCUCUGCCUUCUCAGACAUCAGGUUCCAUCAGAUGACAAACGAGCAUUCUACAAAUUUUGUUUUAUUGUAACAUUAGGAGUGAAGUCAUGAAAGACAAGAAUGCCAGGAAGAGUUUUUCUCUGAAGAUUUUACACAAUUUUUCAGAGAAAGAAAAAUGUCUUUAAAAUG